GGCAGCUUGCCCGAGUGGCCAAAGGGAGCGGUCUGUAAAACCGUCGGCUCAGCCUACGAUGGUUCGAAUCCAUCAGCUGCCACCA
RNAcentral lists this transfer RNA (85 nucleotides) under Propionibacterium sp. oral taxon 192 str. F0372. RNAcentral's name for it is "tRNA-Tyr". It matches the Rfam family "tRNA". From Rfam's summary of the family: Transfer RNA (tRNA) molecules are approximately 80 nucleotides in length. Their secondary structure includes four short double-helical elements and three loops (D, anti-codon, and T loops). The record is from RNAcentral. Lineage: Bacteria; Bacillati; Actinomycetota; Actinomycetes; Propionibacteriales; Propionibacteriaceae. RNAcentral also lists the same sequence under 1 other name.